GUAUCAUGCGAAACGUUCUGUAAAGCUGUCAAUCUGUGUUAAUAAAAAAUGCGUUGCUAUGGAGAACAUAUGAGGAAGUAAUCUGAUGCUUGCAUGCGGACUCGAUUGUGUCGAUUUAAUAACUUUUAACUAAUUAUUUCACUGCUAUGUGCUCCACUUGUGACACUGAAGCAACAAAGAAUGACCCUAACUCUACUCACACGAGUUCUGUCAAACAUUGGGAGUUUUAAAUACGGUGGCUUGCCUUCGUAAACAUAUACAUGCAAUUGUAUACAUUAAUUAUAACCUUCAAGAAAGCAUAGUAGUG
Molecule: non-coding RNA, 307 nt
Organism: Paramuricea clavata
Lineage: Eukaryota; Metazoa; Cnidaria; Anthozoa; Malacalcyonacea; Plexauridae
Source: the annotation of a GenBank genome assembly